ACUGCUAAUACCGCAUAAGCCCACAGAACCGCAUGGUUCUGGGGGAAAAGGAGCAAUUCGCUCUGGGAUGGACUCGCGUCCGAUUAGCUGGAUGGUGAGGUAACGGCCCACCAUGGCAACGAUCGGUAGCCGGACUGAGAGGUUGAUCGGCCACAUUGGGACUGAGACACGGCCCAGACUCCUACGGGAGGCAGCAGUGGGGAAUAUUGCACAAUGGGGGAAACCCUGAUGCAGCGACGCCACGUGAGUGAAGAAGUAUCUCGGUAUGUAAAGCUCUAUCAGCAGGGAAGAAAAUGACGGUACCUGACUAAGAAGCCCCGGCUAACUACGUGCCAGCAGCCGCGGUAAUACGUAGGGGGCAAGCGUUAUCCGGAUUUACUGGGUGUAAAGGGAGCGCAGACGGCGAUGCAAGUCUGGAGUGAAAGCCCGGGGCUCAACCCCGGGACUGCUUUGGAAACUGUAUGGCUAGAGUGCUGGAGAGGCAAGCGGAAUUCCUAGUGUAGCGGUGAAAUGCGUAGAUAUUAGGAAGAACACCAGUGGCGAAGGCGGCUUGCUGGACAGUAACUGACGUUCAGGCUCGAAAGCGUGGGGAGCAAACAGG
Molecule: ribosomal RNA, 601 nt
Filed under: uncultured bacterium
Lineage: Bacteria
Description: bacterial SSU rRNA
Rfam family: Bacterial small subunit ribosomal RNA
Source: RNAcentral